RNAcentral lists this ribosomal RNA (410 nucleotides) under uncultured Methylomirabilota bacterium. RNAcentral's name for it is "bacterial SSU rRNA". It matches the Rfam family "Bacterial small subunit ribosomal RNA", at positions 1025 to 1434 of the family's 1533-position model. The record is from RNAcentral. Lineage: Bacteria; Methylomirabilota (SeqCode).
AGCGUGGAGACAGGUGGUGCAUGGCUGUCGUCAGCUCGUGUCGUGAGAUGUUGGGUUAAGUCCCGCAACGAGCGCAACCCUCACCCCUUGUUGCUACCAGGUAAAGCUGGGCACUCUAGGGGAACUGCCCCGGUCAACGGGGAGGAAGGCGGGGAUGACGUCGAGUCAUCAUGCCCCUUACGUCCUGGGCUACACACGUGCUACAAUGGCCGGUACAAAGGGAUGCCACACCGCGAGGUAGAGCUAAACCCAAAAAGCCGGUCUAAGUACAGAUUGGAGUCUGCAACUCGACUCCAUGAAGGAGGAAUCGCUAGUAAUCGCGUAUCAGCACGACGCGGUGAAUACGUUCCCGGGCCUUGUACACACCGCCCGUCACACCACGAAAGCCAGCUGUACUCGAAGUCGCUGAG